Molecule: ribosomal RNA, 253 nt
Filed under: uncultured bacterium
Lineage: Bacteria
Description: partial 16S ribosomal RNA
Rfam family: Bacterial small subunit ribosomal RNA
Source: RNAcentral
UACGUAGGGUCCGAGCGUUGUCCGGAAUUACUAGGCGUAAAGAGCUCGUAGGUGGUUUGUCGCGUUGUUCGUGAAAACUCACAGCUCAACUGUGGGCGUGCGGGCGAUACGGGCAGACUUGAGUACUGCAGGGGAGACUGGAAUUCCUGGUGUAGCGGUGGAAUGCGCAGAUAUCAGGAGGAACACCGGUGGCGAAGGCGGGUCUCUGGGCCGAUACUGACGCUGAGGAGCGAAAGCGUGGGGAGCGAACAGG